GACGAACGCUGGCGGCGUGCCUAACACAUGCAAGUCGAACGGGGGUAUUUAUUUCGAUGAAUACCUUAGUGGCGAACGGGUGAGUAACGCGUGAGCAACCUAUCCUUAAGAGGGGGAUAACAUCUGGAAACAGAUGCUAAUACCGCAUAAGACCACACUGCCGCAUGGCAGAGGGGUCAAAGGAGCAAUCCGUUGAAGGCGGGGCUCGCGUCCCAUUAGAUAGUUGGUGAGGUAACAGCUCACCAAGUCAGCGAUGGGUAGCCGAGCUGAGAGGCUGAUCGGCCACACUGGAACUGAGACACGGUCCAGACUCCUACGGGAGGCAGCAGUGGGGAAUAUUGGGCAAUGGGGGGAACCCUGACCCAGCAACGCCGCGUGAGGGAAGAAGGCCUUCGGGUUGUAAACCUCUGUCAUUAGGGAAGAAGAAAGUGACGGUACCUAAUGAGGAAGCCCCGGCUAACUACGUGCCAGCCGCCGCAGUAA
Molecule: ribosomal RNA, 483 nt
Filed under: uncultured bacterium
Lineage: Bacteria
Description: partial 16S ribosomal RNA
Rfam family: Bacterial small subunit ribosomal RNA
Source: RNAcentral